AUUGAACGCUGGCGGCAGGCUUAACACAUGCAAGUCGGGCGGGGUGAUGGUGCUUGCACUAUCACUUAGCGGCGGACGGGUGAGUAAUGCUUAGGAAUCUGCCUAUUAGUGGGGGACAACAUCUCGAAAGGGAUGCUAAUACCGCAUACGUCCUACGGGAGAAAGCAGGGGAUCACUUGUGACCUUGCGCUAAUAGAUGAGCCUAGGUCGGAUUAGCUAGUUGGUGGGGUAAAGGCCUACCAAGGCGACGAUCUGUAGCGGGUCAGAGAGGAUGAUCCGCCACACUGGGACUGAGACACGGCCCAGACUCCUACGGGAGGCAGCAGUGGGGAAUAUUGGACAAUGGGGGGAACCCUGAUCCAGCCAUGCCGCGUGUGUGAAGAAGGCCUUAUGGUUGUAAAGCACUUUAAGCGAGGAGGAGGCUCUUUUGGUUAAUACCCAAGAUGAGUGGACGUUACUCGCAGAAUAAGCACCGGCUAACUCUGUGCCAGCCGCCGCCGUAA
Molecule: ribosomal RNA, 503 nt
Filed under: uncultured bacterium
Lineage: Bacteria
Description: partial 16S ribosomal RNA
Rfam family: Bacterial small subunit ribosomal RNA
Source: RNAcentral